This 253-nucleotide ribosomal RNA is filed under the name uncultured bacterium. Its description in RNAcentral is "partial 16S ribosomal RNA". It matches the Rfam family "Bacterial small subunit ribosomal RNA", at positions 524 to 776 of the family's 1533-position model. The record is from RNAcentral.
UACGGAGGGUGCAAGCGUUGUCCGGAUUUAUUGGGUUUAAAGGGUGCGUAGGCGGCCCGUUAAGUCAGUGGUGAAAGCCUCCAGCUCAACUGGAGAACUGCCAUUGAUACUGACGGGCUUGAGUACAGACGAGGUUGGCGGAAUUGAUUGUGUAGCGGUGAAAUGCAUAGAUACAAUCAAGAACACCGAUUGCGUAGGCAGCUAACUAGGCUGUAACUGACGCUGAGGCACGAAAGCGUGGGGAGCAAACAGG